Numida meleagris (helmeted guineafowl) is the source of this 921-nucleotide long non-coding RNA. RefSeq lists it as uncharacterized. The record is from RefSeq and is a predicted model, not a curated record. Lineage: Eukaryota; Metazoa; Chordata; Aves; Galliformes; Numididae. The transcript is spliced from 3 exons.
GUAAAUACGUGCGGAUCUGGUAUUUAAAAAAAAAGGCUUCCAAAGUAAAUUUUGAAAGGACAGCUUUGUUUAGAUGUAAGCUUUUCACUGCAGGAACUGUCUGUUUCUAGGAGUUCCUAUGAUGCCUGGAACAAGGGAGACCUGUUCUUGUCUGACCCGCUGCACUGUUCUGGUACACACAAUUAUGGUGUCAAUGGAAGGAUUAUUUGCACACACUCACCUGCAGCAACUCUUCCAUCAGUCAGAACUGUAACCAACGUUACUAUUUUGGUGCAAGUUUGUGCAAACUAGCCACCUGCUCAAACCACUGCUUUAAAUCUACCAGAAUUGUCAUCCCUGACAGAUGUCUGCCAAUGGAAGGACAGUAUGUAAAGAAUCUGGUGGUUUUAAGUGAAUUUCCUUGUGAAUCAGAGCAGAGGUUUCAACUCAUGUUUCAGAGGAGGAAACAAAAAAAGCAGUGGUCUACAGCAGCCAACACAUGAGUUAGCUGGCAAGAUCCAGGCCCCAGGUGGAAAUCUGCAGCUUGAUGUUGAAAUUCACUGAGAUAUUGCAAAAGGACAGCACAUCAGGCAGCACCACUGCUAGCAAGUCAAGGACACAGCUCCGAUCUUCAGUGGUGCUAAAUGUCUGCAGCUCACUGAAUCCACACUCCUAGGCUGCAGGUGAUCUCUGAAGGAAAUUCAGCACAGAACGGUAAGAUCAAGGUCUCGUCAGAGCAGCAGUGCUUGAAGAAGACUAACAAAGGUGACUGCAGGGAAGGAAGGAGACCUUCAAACAAUUGUCUGAGCUUCUACAGGUUACCUGUUAAUGAGGAAUUGAGAAAAUUGGUUACUGGAGCACAGCAACAGCCAGGCUACAGGGUCCCACAGGACAACGCUGACUGGAGUUGCUGCUUUAAAGCCUGGUUGCAAUCCCUCCCGC